AAUGGGCGAAAGCCUGAUGCAGCAACGCCGCGUGAGCGAUGAAGGCCUUUGGGUCGUAAAGCUCUGUCCUUGGGGAAGAAAAAAUGACGGUACCCUUGGAGGAAGCCCCGGCUAACUACGUGCCAGCAGCCGCGGUAAUACGUAGGGGGCAAGCGUUAUCCGGAAUUAUUGGGCGUAAAGAGUGCGUAGGUGGUCCUGUAAGCGCGGGGUGAAAGGCAAUAGCUCAACUAUUGUAAGCCUUGCGAACUGUGGGACUUGAGUGCAGGAGAGGAAAGCGGAAUUCCUAGUGUAGCGGCGAAAUGCGUAGAUAUUAGGAGGAACACCGGUGGCGAAGGCGGCUGCCUGGACCGAUAUUGACGCUGAGACGCGAAAGCGUGGGGAGCAAA
RNAcentral lists this ribosomal RNA (386 nucleotides) under uncultured bacterium. RNAcentral describes it as "bacterial SSU rRNA". It matches the Rfam family "Bacterial small subunit ribosomal RNA", at positions 370 to 772 of the family's 1533-position model. The record is from RNAcentral.